This 459-nucleotide ribosomal RNA is filed under the name uncultured bacterium. Its description in RNAcentral is "partial 16S ribosomal RNA". It matches the Rfam family "Bacterial small subunit ribosomal RNA", at positions 338 to 795 of the family's 1533-position model. The record is from RNAcentral.
CCUACGGGGGGCAGCAGUGAGGAAUAUUGGUCAAUGGACGAGAGUCUGAACCAGCCAAGUAGCGUGAAGGAUGACUGCCCUAUGGGUUGUAAACUUCUUUUAUAUGGGAAUAAAACGUUCCACGUGUGGGAUUUUGUAUGUACCAUAUGAAUAAGGAUCGGCUAACUCCGUGCCAGCAGCCGCGGUAAUACGGAGGAUCCGAGCGUUAUCCGGAUUUAUUGGGUUUAAAGGGUGCGUAGGCGGAAUGCCAAGUCAGCGGUAAAAUCGCGGGGCUCAACCUCGCUCCGCCGUUGAAACUGGCGUUCUUGAGUGGGCGAGAAGUAUGCGGAAUGCGUGGUGUAGCGGUGAAAUGCAUAGAUAUCACGCAGAACUCCGAUUGCGAAGGCAUCUCACGAAUCCGCGAUUGACGCUGAUGCACGAAAGCGUGGGUAUCAAACAGGAUUAGAUACCCGUGUAGUC